AUCACUAUUCUUAGACUGAGGAAUGCCAAGUUGCUCUCCAUGCUGCUGUUAGAUUAAUUAUGGUUAAUCUUCAAUUGCAAUUAAGGUAUUAAUAAUCCUGAACAAGUCUCUGAUGUUUCUUAAAAACUUUUUAAAUGGUAUGAGUGACAGUCCUUGUCACUUGCCUGAAGCACUGCAACUGUUGGCAAUCCUUUCACGUUAUUUUUAAGUGCUGUUUCUUCUCUACUCUAGUAACUCAGUCUAUUUUAUCUGUGGUUGUGG
RNAcentral lists this long non-coding RNA (261 nucleotides) under Gallus gallus (chicken). Lineage: Eukaryota; Metazoa; Chordata; Aves; Galliformes; Phasianidae. The record is from RNAcentral.